RNAcentral lists this ribosomal RNA (514 nucleotides) under uncultured bacterium. RNAcentral describes it as "partial 16S ribosomal RNA". It matches the Rfam family "Bacterial small subunit ribosomal RNA", at positions 28 to 523 of the family's 1533-position model. The record is from RNAcentral.
GAUGAACGCUGGCGGCGUGCCUAAUACAUGCAAGUCGAGCGAAUGGAUUAAGAGCUUGCUCUUAUGAAGUUAGCGGCGGACGGGUGAGUAACACGUGGGUAACCUGCCCAUAAGACUGGGAUAACUCCGGGAAACCGGGGCUAAUACCGGAUAACAUUUUGAACCGCAUGGUUCGAAAUUGAAAGGCGGCGUCGGCUGUCACUUAUGGAUGGACCCGGAUCGCAUUAGCUAGUUGGUGAGGUAACGGCUCACAAAGGCAACGAUGCGUAACCGUACUGGGACGGUGGUCCGGCACACCGCGCCCAGGACACGACCCAGACUCCUACGGGAGGCAGCAGUAGUGAAUCAUCCGCAAUGGACGAACGUCUGACGUGGAAACGCCGCGUGAGGGAUGAGGGCUUUCGGGUCGUAAAACUCUGAUGUUAGCGAAGAACAAGUGCUAGAUGAAUAAGCUGGCACGUUGACGGUACCUAACCAGAAAGCCACGGCUAAGUACGUGCAGCCGCCGCCGUAA